GAUGAAGAACGCAGCGAAAUGCGAUAAGUAGUGUGAAUUGCAGAAUUCAGUGAAUCAUCGAAUCUUUGAACGCACAUUGCGCCCCUUGGUAUCCCGAGGGGCAUGCCUGUUCGAGCGUCAUUAUAACCCCUCAAGCUCAGCUUGGUGUUGGGGCCUGCUGCACUGGCAGCCCUUAAAAUCAGUGGCGGCGCCAUCUGGCUCUAAGCGUAGUAAUUCUUCUCGCUAUGGAGUCCUGGUGGAUGCUUGCCAUCAACCCCCAAUUUUUCUAUGGUUGACCUCGGAUCAGGUAGGGAUACCCGCUGAACUUAAGAAUAUCAAUAAGCGGAGGA
RNAcentral lists this unclassified non-coding RNA (329 nucleotides) under soil metagenome. RNAcentral's name for it is "partial contains 5.8S ribosomal RNA, internal transcribed spacer 2, and large subunit ribosomal RNA". The stretch from base 1 to 120 matches the Rfam family "5.8S ribosomal RNA", at positions 35 to 154 of the family's 154-position model. The record is from RNAcentral.